UUAUCGAGUUUAUUCAACUCCCAAACCCUAUGUGAACUUACCACUUGUUGCUUCGGCGGCGCUCUCGGGCGUCGCCGAGGGUAUCAAACUCUUUUUGUUUUUACAGCAUUAUCUGAGUGGCCGCAAGGCAAAAAACAAAUGAAUCAAAACUUUCAACAACGGAUCUCUUGGUUCUGGCAUCGAUGAAGAACGCAGCGAAAUGCGAUAAGUAAUGCGAAUUGCAGAAUUCUGUGAGUCAUCGAAUCUUUGAACGCACAUUGCGCCCCCUAGCAUUCUAGAGGGCAUGCCUGUCCGAGCGUCAUUUCAACCCUCAAGCGCUGUUCCGCUUGGAAUUGGGGCUCUUGCAGCAAGCAUUUAAGUGCUCUGCAAGCCCUGAAAUUCAGCGGCGGGCCCGCCGGCACACCGAACGCAGUAACAUUACUUCCCGUUCAGGGCGUGCGGCGCGGCGCAGCCGACCUCUUUUAAAAUUUUCCAAAGUUGACCUCGGAUCAGGUAGGACUACCCGCUGAACUUAAGCAUAUCAAUAAGCGGAGGAAAAGAAACCAACAGGGAUUGCCCUAGUAACGGCGAGUGAAGCGGCAACAGCUCAAAUUUGAAAUCUGGCUUCGGCCCGAGUUGUAAUUUGUAGAGGAUGCUUUCGGCGCGGCGCCUUCUGAGUUCCCUGGAACGGGACGCCAGAGAGGGUGAGAGCCCCGUACGGUUGGACGCCUAGCCUAUGUAAAGCUCCUUCGACGAGUCGAGUAGUUUGGGAAUGCUGCUCAAAAUGGGAGGUAAAUUUCUUCUAAAGCUAAAUACCGGCCAGAGACCGAUAGCGCACAAGUAGAGUGAUCGAAAGAUGAAAAGCACUUUGAAAAGAGGGUUAAACAGUACGUGAAAUUGUUGAAAGGGAAGCGCUCGUGACCAGACUUGCGCUCAGCGGAUCAUCCAGCGUUCUCGCUGGUGCACUCCGCUGUGCUCAGGCCAGCAUCGGUUCUUCUGGGGGGAUAAAAGCUCCGGGAACGUGGCUCCUCCGGGAGUGUUAUAGCCCGUUGCACAAUGCCUUCAGAGGGACCGAGG
Molecule: ribosomal RNA, 1056 nt
Filed under: uncultured fungus
Lineage: Eukaryota; Fungi
Description: eukaryotic LSU rRNA
Rfam family: Eukaryotic large subunit ribosomal RNA (bases 479-1056)
Source: RNAcentral